RNAcentral lists this ribosomal RNA (375 nucleotides) under uncultured organism. RNAcentral describes it as "partial 16S ribosomal RNA". It matches the Rfam family "Bacterial small subunit ribosomal RNA", at positions 527 to 896 of the family's 1533-position model. The record is from RNAcentral.
GUAGGUGGCAAGCUUUGUCCGGAAUUAUUGGGCGUAAAGCGCGCGCAGGCGGUCCUUUAAGUCUGAUGUGAAAGCCCACGGCUCAACCGUGGAGGGUCAUUGGAAACUGGGGGACUUGAGUACAGAAGAGGAAAGCGGAAUUCCAAGUGUAGCGGUGAAAUGCGUAGAGAUUUGGAGGAACACCAGUGGCGAAGGCGGCUUUCUGGUCUGUAACUGACGCUGAGGCGCGAAAGCGCGGGGAGCAAACAGGAUUAGAUACCCUGGUAGUCCACGCCGUAAACGAUGAGUGCUAAGUGUUAGGGGGUUUCCCGCCCCCCUUAGUGCUGCAGCUAACGCAUUAAGCACUCCGCCUGGGGGAGUACGGCCGCAAGGCUG